UGCGAGUCAUAUGUUCUUCGUGAACAUGGCGUACUGCUCUGUAACACGUGGAUAACCUGCCCUUGGGACCGGGAUAACCCCGGGAAACUGGGGAUAAUACCGGAUAACGCAUAUCUGCUGGAAUGCUUUAUGCGUAAAAUGGAUUUGUCUGCCCAAGGAUGGGUCUGCGGCCUAUCAGGUAGUAGUGGGUGUAAUGUACCUACUAGCCUACGACGGGUACGGGUUGUGGGAGCAAGAGCCCGGAGAUGGAUUCUGAGACAUGAAUCCAGGCCCUACGGGGCGCAGCUGGCGCGAAAACUUUACAAUGCGGGAAACCGUGAUAAGGGGACACCGAGUGCCAGCAUCAUAUGUUGGCUGUCCAGAUGUGUAAAAUACAUCUGUUAGCAAGGGCCGGGCAAGACCGGUGCCAGCCGCCGCGGUAACACCGGCGGCCCGAGUGGUGAUCGUGAUUAUUGGGUCUAAAGGGUCCGUAGCCGGUUUGGUCAGUCCUCCGGGAAAUCUGACGGCUCAACCGUUAGGCUUUCGGUGGAUACUGCCAGACUUGGAACCGGGAGAGGUAAGAGGUACUACAGGGGUAGGAGUGAAAUCUUGUAAUCCCUGUGAGACCACCUGUGGCGAA
Molecule: ribosomal RNA, 619 nt
Filed under: uncultured archaeon
Lineage: Archaea
Description: bacterial SSU rRNA
Rfam family: Archaeal small subunit ribosomal RNA
Source: RNAcentral